This 345-nucleotide ribosomal RNA is filed under the name Triticum aestivum (bread wheat). RNAcentral describes it as "partial small subunit ribosomal RNA". The record is from RNAcentral. Lineage: Eukaryota; Viridiplantae; Streptophyta; Magnoliopsida; Poales; Poaceae.
AUGUGUGACUCCCAAUAUAUGCCAGUUAAGCGCCAUUUGAAACCAUCCUCCUCCUUCACAACUGCAUCAAUGUGCAUAUGCCCCAUCCAUCUUACCAUAACAUUUAUGCCCCGUCUCCAGACCAAUGUCAAACCAUCGCUCUUCCCAUCUUUGAUUUUCUACUCUCAUCUAUACGAAGUUGUGGAAGGACAACAGCAGUUGGUGGGCAAAUUUCAAGCAAAAGCAUUUGAUGCAAAAGGGUUGAUAUUUUCUUCUUCCUCUUCUGUUUUUGCCAGCGGUUUUGAAUUUGGUUUUGUGUGUUUUCUUGUUAUAGCCCAAACCCGUAUAUGGCAAUUGUAUGAGUGA